UGACGUAGACGCUAUACUCUAAGAUUAACCCAUGCAUGUUUAUUGAAUAUAAAGAAAAGACGAACAGCUCAGUAACUCUUAUUUGAUUUGAUGUAUUAGGAUUCUAACUAUGUUAAAUUAUAGGUAACAAUAAUACAAUAAGAAUAAGAUCUAUCAGUUAGUUGUUAAGGUAAUGGCUUAACAAGACUAUGACGGAUAACGGUAUUACUUUGUAAUAUUCCGGAGAAGGAGCCUGAGAGAUUGCUACUAAGUCUAAGGAUUGCAGCAGGGGCGAAACUUGACCUAUGAUAUUAUAUUGAGGCAGUUAUGAGUAGUAUUUUAUAAUUAUUGUAGUAUUGUAAGUACAUAUUACAAGAUAAAUCGGAGGGCAAAUCGAGUGCCAGCAGCCGCGGUAAUACUUGUUCCGAUAGUGUGUAUGAUGAUUGAUGCAGUUAAAAAGUCUGUAGUUUAUUUAUAAUAAGCAUUGUAAGGUAUACUGUAUGGUUAGGAGAGAGAUGAAAUGUGAUAACCCUAACUGGAUGAACAGAAGCGAAAGCUGUAUACUUAAAUGUAUUAUUAGAACAAGGACGUAAGCUAGAGGAUCGAAGAUGAUUAGAUACCAUUGUAGUUCUAGCAGUAAACUAUGUUGAAUCAUAGAUAUAUUUUGAUAUAUAUUUAUGUAGAGAAAUUAAGAUUAUAUUGACUCUGGGGAUAGUAUGAUCGCAAGAUUGAAAAUUAAAGAAAUUGACGGAAGAAUACCACAAGGAGUGGAUUGUGCGGCUUAAUUUGACUCAACGCGGGGUAAUUUACCAGGUAUAACAUGRUAUAAUAUUUUAUCAUGAUAGUGGUGCAUGGCCGUUUCCAAUGGAUGCUGUGAAGUAAUGAUUAAUUUCAACAAGAUGUGAGACCCUCAUUUAGACAGAUGUAGUGAUACAUAUGAAGGAGAGGAUUAAAACAGGUCCGUUAUGCCCUAAGAUAAUCUGGGUUGCACGCGCAAUACAAUAAUAUUUGAUAUUAUAAGGGAUAAUAUAAUGUAAGAUAUAUUUGAACAUGGAAUUGCUAGUAAAUUUUAUUUAAUAAGUAGAAUUGAAUGAGUCCCUGUUCUUUGUACACACCGCCCGUCGCUAUCUAAGAUGGUAUUAUCUAUGAACAAAUUUAUAAAGUGAAUAGAUAGUACUAGAUCUGAUAU
Molecule: ribosomal RNA, 1168 nt
Filed under: Nosema sp. Hyblaea puera 1
Lineage: Eukaryota; Fungi; Microsporidia; Nosematidae
Description: SSU rRNA
Rfam family: Microsporidia small subunit ribosomal RNA
Source: RNAcentral